Molecule: ribosomal RNA, 464 nt
Filed under: uncultured bacterium
Lineage: Bacteria
Description: partial 16S ribosomal RNA
Rfam family: Bacterial small subunit ribosomal RNA
Source: RNAcentral
ACGCACGCUUGCGGCGUGCUUCACACAUGCAAGUCGGACGGAAAGGCCCUGCUUGCAGGGUACUCGAGUGGCGAACGGGUGAGUAACACGUGGGUGAUCUGCCCUGCACUUCGGGAUAAGCCUGGGAAACUGGGUCUAAUACCGGAUAGGAGCCAUUUUUAGUGUGAUGGUUGGAAAGUUUUUUCGGUGUGGGAUGAGCUCGCGGCCUAUCAGCUUGUUGGUUGGGUAAUGGCCUAACAAGGCGGCGACGGGUAGCCGGCCUGGGGGGGGGGACGGCCACAUUGGGACUGAGAUACGGCCCAGACUCCUACCGGGGGCAGCAGGGGGGAAUAUUGCCCAAUGGGCGCAAGCCUGAUGCAGCGACGCCGCGUGGGGGAUGACGGCCUUCGGGUUGGAAACUCCUUUCGCUAGGGACGAAGCUUUUUGUGACGGUAACUAGAUAAGAAGCACCGGCUAACUACGUG